Molecule: ribosomal RNA, 201 nt
Filed under: uncultured bacterium
Lineage: Bacteria
Description: partial 16S ribosomal RNA
Rfam family: Bacterial small subunit ribosomal RNA
Source: RNAcentral
GUAGUCUGCAACCCGACUACAUGAAGCUGGAAUCGCUAGUGAUCGCGAAUCAGAAUGUCGCGGUGAAUACGUUCCCGGGUCUUGUACACACCGCCCGUCACACCAUGGGAGUCGGUAACGCCCGAAGCCUGUGACCCAACCGUAAGGAGGGAGCAGUCGAAGGUGGGACCGGUGACUGGGGUGAAGUCGUAACAAGGUACC